RNAcentral lists this ribosomal RNA (460 nucleotides) under uncultured bacterium. RNAcentral's name for it is "partial 16S ribosomal RNA". It matches the Rfam family "Bacterial small subunit ribosomal RNA", at positions 338 to 795 of the family's 1533-position model. The record is from RNAcentral.
CCUACGGGAGGCAGCAGUGAGGAAUAUUGGUCAAUGGACGAGAGUCUGAACCAGCCAAGUAGCGUGAAGGAUGACUGCCCUAUGGGUUGUAAACUUCUUUUAUAUGGGAAUAAAACGUUCCACGUGUGGGAUUUUGUAUGUACCAUAUGCAUAAGGAUCGGCUAACUCCGUGCCAGUAGCCACGGUAAUACGGAGGAUCCGAGCGUUAUCCGGAUUUAUUGGGUUUAAAGGGAGCGUAGGUGGAUGGUUAAGUCAGUUGGGAAAGUUUGCGGCUCAACCGUAAAAUUGCAGUUGAAACUGGCAGUCGUGAGUACAGUAGAGGUAGGCGGAAUUCGUGGUGUAGCGGUGAAAUGCUUAGAUAUCACGAAGAACACCGAUUGCGAAGGCAGUUCACUGGACUGCAACUGACGCUGAGGCUCGAAAGUGUGGGUAGCAAACAGGAUUAGAUACCCUAGUAGUC